AAACUUGAGAGUUUGAUCAUGGCUCAGAACGUACGCUGGCGGCACGCCUAACACAUGCAAGUCGAACGAAGUAGCAAUACUUAGUGGCAGACGGGUGAGUAACAUGUAGGUAUCUGCCCUUUGGCCUGGAAUAACACGAGGAAACUUGUGCUAAUACCGGAUAAGUCUUUACGGAGAAAGCUUUAUGCACCAUUGGAUGAGCCUGCACUUGAUUAGUUUGUUGGUGGGGUAAUGGCCUACCAAGACUGUGAUCAAUAGCUGAUUUGAGAGGAUGAUCAGCCACAUUGGGACUGAGACACGGCCCAAACUCCUACGGGAGGCAGCAGUGGGGAAUCUUGCACAAUGGAGGAAACUCUGAUGCAGCGAUGCCGCGUGAGUGAAGAAGGCCCUUGGGUUGUAAAGCUCUUUCGUCGGGGAAGAAAAUGACUGUACCCGAAUAAGAAGGUCCGGCUAACUUCGUGCCAGCAGCCGCGGUAAUACGAAGGGACCUAGCGUAGUUCGGAAUUACUGGGCUUAAAGAGUUCGUAGGUGGUUGAAAAAGUUGGUGGUGAAAUCCCAGAGCUUAACUCUGGAACUGCCAUCAAAACUUUUCAGCUAGAGUAUGAUAGAGGAAAGCAGAAUUUCUAGUGUAGAGGUGAAAUUCGUAGAUAUUAGAAAGAAUACCGAUUGCGAAGGCAGCUUUCUGGAUCAUUACUGACACUGAGGAACGAAAGCAUGGGUAGCGAAGAGGAUUAGAUACCCUCGUAGUCCAUGCCGUAAACGAUGUGUGUUAGACGUUGGAAAUUUAUUUUCAGUGUCGCAGCGAAAGCGAUAAACACACCGCCUGGGGAGUACGACCGCAAGGUUAAAACUCAAAUGAAUUGACGGGGACCCGCACAAGUAGUGGAGCAUGUGGUUUAAUUCGAAGAUACGCGCAGAACCUUACCAACACUUGACAUGUUCGUCGCGACUCUAAGAGAUUAGAGUUUUCGGUUCGGCCGGACGAAACACAGGUGCUGCAUGGCUGUCGUCAGCUCGUGUCGUGAGAUGUUGGGUUAAGUCCCGCAACGAGCGCAACCCUCACUUUUAGUUGCCAUCAUUAAGUUGGGCACUCUGAAAGAACUGCCAGUGAUAAGCUGGAGGAAGGUGGGGAUGACGUCAAGUCCUCAUGGCCCUUACGUGUUGGGCUACACACGUGCUACAAUGGUAUCUACAGCAGGAAGCAAGACUGCGAAGUCAAGCAAAUCCUUAAAAGAUACCUCAGUUCGGAUUGCACUCUGCAACUCGAGUGCAUGAAGCUGGAAUUACUAGUAAUCGUGGAUCAGCGUGCCACGGUGAAUGCGUUCCCGGGUCUUGUACACACCGCCCGUCACACCAUGGGAGUUGGUUCUACCUUAAGGCAAGGUUUUAAACCCUUGACCACGGUAUAGUCAGCGACUGGGGUGAAGUCGUAACAAGGUAGCCGUAGGGGAACCUGCGGCUGGAUUACCUCCUUU
This 1475-nucleotide ribosomal RNA is filed under the name Candidatus Pelagibacter sp. RNAcentral's name for it is "bacterial SSU rRNA". It matches the Rfam family "Bacterial small subunit ribosomal RNA". Lineage: Bacteria; Pseudomonadati; Pseudomonadota; Alphaproteobacteria; Candidatus Pelagibacterales; Candidatus Pelagibacteraceae. The record is from RNAcentral.